RNAcentral lists this ribosomal RNA (372 nucleotides) under uncultured organism. RNAcentral's name for it is "bacterial SSU rRNA". It matches the Rfam family "Bacterial small subunit ribosomal RNA", at positions 526 to 896 of the family's 1533-position model. The record is from RNAcentral.
CAGAGGGUGCAAGCGUUGUUCGGAAUUACUGGGCGUAAAGCGCGCGCAGGCGGAAGUGCAAGUCUCGAGUGAAAUCCCGCCGCUCAACGGCGGGGCUGCUUAGGAUACUGCACCUCUAGGGACCGGUAGAGGCUGGUAGAAUUGCAGGUGUAGCGGUGGAAUGCGUAGAGAUCUGCAAGAAUACCCGUGGCGAAGGCGGCCAGCUGGGCCGGAUCCGACGCUGAGGCGCGAAAGCGUGGGGAGCAAACAGGAUUAGAUACCCUGGUAGUCCACGCCGUAAACGAUGGGCACUAGGUGCCGGGGGGAGCGACCCCGUCGGUGCCGCAGCUAACGCGAUAAGUGCCCCGCCUGGGGAGUACGGCCGCAAGGCUG